GACGCUCUUUUAUCUAUUUGAAAAAAACCGAAUGAUCUAAAUCAACUUGUUAGCUAAAUAUUUUUAAAGCUAAUAACAAUUUAUUUGUUCUUUGCAAAGAUAUUUUAUCAACUUCAAGAGUUCCCCCACAUGGUAUCCUCAAGAUAACAGUAAACAGGUAACGGUCAUGCGUAGUCGAUCCUUGAUCUCUAUUGUUGGCAGACGACAGGAAACGUAGCAGACAUGAUGAUGGAUACAGAAUACAGAAUACAGAUGAUGGAGAAAAUGCAGAAAAAGAUUUCUAGGUCAACUGAUAAUGCUUUGAGGACCAGUUUAUUGGGAGAAAACAUGAAUGAUUCAAGAAGUUUAAAAGUUGUGAACCAAGUAGUGGAACUGUUGGAAAAGAGUGUAAAGAUCCAGAGAAGGUUCCAAUUCAUGAUAAGAACUUAAAAUACUAAAUGACUUAAAAAGUAAACUUACAAUGUAGGUUAGUUCCCCGUUGUUUAUGGCACAGCGGAGGAGGAUUCCUGCCUCGAAGGCAUUGGUUGGAAAUAUGUUGCCCAUUUGUUCAUGGGAUGUGGAUACCAUUCCAAAGUCUUCUAAAUAUAUGGACAGUUCAUCUCUAAAAAAGAAAAUCUUAAAAGACAUGAAAGGGUUUGACUUGAGGUUUAAUGUAUUAAUUACCUUAUGAAGGAUGCUCCAAUGACUAACCCUUCCACUGUUUCUUGGAAUUCUGUGUCAUUCUGCAAUAUAAUUGAAUUUAAAUUGGCUUAUAAAAAAACAAUGGUAUGGAGAUCAUGAAAGAAAAUCAAGCUCACCAUUAUGCUGGUGUCGGCCAUGGAGUUCAGGAAGGUCGACCCCCUGAACUCCAUGACCUUAAGAUUUUUGACCACAAUCUUGUCUCCAACGGAGAACCCGUUAGUCAUGGAGGCCUUCUCCCUCCACAACUUAACCUUGAGGGAGCGAGGCCUCAUUAGGGGGUUUGUCAGCCUCAACCCCCUGUAGGGGUUUUCUGCAUCCUCUGCAGGUUCCAGCUCCAAUGGAAUCUAUUAUACAAUAAAUAAACAAUAUAUCCUUUGAUGCAGAUUGUUGAUGGAGUUUAUGGCUACCACCGGAGGAUUUUUGAAUAUAUCUAUAGCCUCCUGGAAACUGGUGAGGGGGAAUGGAGCUGAUUCGAAGCACUAAAUAAAAACAAUGCCUUUUCAUAAGAUGUAAUGUAAAUAAUUUUUAAUUUUUAUUUUAUGCAAGUAUUUAUUUUAACAUAUAUGUGCAGGAAAGCAUUGUUAUUAUCUUUUAUGUUUUUUUUCCCAAAUUGUAUGAAUACACAUAUGCCAUUUAUUUUAAAAUUAUUUCAAUGCAGGAAAAGGAUUUCCUCCUUUAAUGUUUAAUUUUAUUUCUUGAUGAAGGUAAAGGAACGCCUGUUAUUUUAACCUGAAAAAAUUCACUGUUUUGGACUAGCUCAAUUGUUCGUUUCAGAAAAAAAAUCAUGAACACUUAGAUUUAUUUUUAUAUUAUGUAAAAUAAGUUUUAUUUUAAGAUAUAUGUUCUUUUUUUUAAUUGUAUAUACAUGCAUUUGACACUAAUGUAAGUUAUUUUUAUGCUUUAUUUCAUUUUAUUUCUUCAUGAAGGUAAAGAAAUGUCAUUAUUUUAAUAUUUAAUUCAUAUACUAACCAGGGCAUGAGAAGGUAACGACAUCUUCUCGUCGUAGACCCUGUACUUCUUCAGCAACUUGUAUUCCCCCAAGUUUAUGGUGAACUUAUUAUCGUACUGUAGCUCUGUUAUUUUCCCCCCUUCAGUUAUUAUAUAGUUGACUUUGUAGGAGCCCCUUGGCUCCUCUUCCAGGAGUGCAUGGACUUUCAUAACAUCAAGGUCCUGAAACAUUGAAAGACAUAAAUGUAAUUGUUCAUUAAUUUUAAAAGUGCCAGCUGAAGUUUGGAAAAAUUUCUUUUUAACUUUUAAGGUGCAAACAGAAGUUUGCCUAUAUAUUUUUAUUUUUAUACGUCUGCAAAAGCAAAAAUUGAAAUGGUUUUGGUCGUAUAUUGGUAUCACGAUGUCGUUGUUGCGUUUGUUUUCAAAUUUGGUUUUUGCACUCCAACUUUAGUAAAAGUCGAUAGAAAUUUAUGAAAUUUAAACAAAGUUUAUGACCAGAAAAGGAAGGUUGGGGUUGAUUUUGGGUGUUUUGGUAUAUAUCUGUGCCCUACGGAGCAUUGUUUUUUUUACUUUUAUAUAUUUUUUUGAUUUUAACAGAAAUUGAGGUAUUUAAUUUUUUACUCUCGUUUGAAAUUGUGUUUUUAAGCAACUCUUUUUUUUCAAUUGUCAUUAUGAAUACUGUUUUGCUUUUACAUUUGUAAAUAACAUUUACAUAAACAUGCAAUGAAUGAUG
RNA transcript from Mytilus trossulus (common blue mussel), 2362 nucleotides. RefSeq lists it as uncharacterized. Lineage: Eukaryota; Metazoa; Mollusca; Bivalvia; Mytilida; Mytilidae. The record is from RefSeq and is a predicted model, not a curated record. The transcript has 6 exons.